GACGAACGCUGGCGGCGUGCUUAACACAUGCAAGUCGAACGGAAAGGCCCUGCUUUUGUGGGGUGCUCGAGUGGCGAACGGGUGAGUAACACGUGAGUAACCUGCCCUUGACUUUGGGAUAACUUCAGGAAACUGGGGCUAAUACCGGAUAGGAGCUCCUGCUGCAUGGUGGGGGUUGGAAAGUUUCGGCGGUUGGGGAUGGACCCGCGGCUUAUCAGCUUGUUGGUGGGGUAGUGGCUUACCAAGGCUUUGACGGGUAGCCGGCCUGUGAGGGUGACCGGCCACAUUGGGACUGAGAUACGGCCCAGACUCCAACGGGAGGCAGCAGUGGGGAAUAUUGCACAAUGGGCGGAAGCCUGAUGCAGCAACGCCGCGUGCGGGAUGACGGCCUUCGGGUUGUAAACCGCUUUCGCCUGUGACGAAGCGUGAGUGACGGUAAUGGGUAAAGAAGCACCGGCUAACUACGUG
Molecule: ribosomal RNA, 468 nt
Filed under: uncultured bacterium
Lineage: Bacteria
Description: partial 16S ribosomal RNA
Rfam family: Bacterial small subunit ribosomal RNA
Source: RNAcentral